Molecule: ribosomal RNA, 413 nt
Filed under: uncultured microorganism
Description: partial 16S ribosomal RNA
Rfam family: Archaeal small subunit ribosomal RNA
Source: RNAcentral
CAGCCGCCGCGGUAAUACCGGCGGCCCGAGUGGCGGCCGUGUUUAUUGGGCCUAAAGGGUCCGUAGCCGGCCCCGUAAGUCUCCCGGGAAAUCGGGCGGCUCAACCGUCCGCUUCCGGGAGAUACUGCGGGGCUAGGGACCGGGAGAGGCCGGGGGUACUCCCGGGGUAGGGGUAAAAUCCUAUAAUCCCAGGGGGACCGCCAGUGGCGAAGGCGCCCCGCUGGAACGGGUCCGACGGUGAGGGACGAAGGCCAGGGGAGCAAACCGGAUUAGAUACCCGGGUAGUCCUGGCUGUAAAGGAUGCGGGCUAGGUGUCGGGUGAGCUUCGAGCUCGCCCGGUGCCGUAGGGAAGCCGUUAAGCCCGCCGCCUGGGGAGUACGGCCGCAAGGCUGAAACUUAAAGGAAUUGGCGGG